RNAcentral lists this ribosomal RNA (253 nucleotides) under uncultured bacterium. Its description in RNAcentral is "partial 16S ribosomal RNA". It matches the Rfam family "Bacterial small subunit ribosomal RNA", at positions 524 to 776 of the family's 1533-position model. The record is from RNAcentral.
UACGGAGGAGGCAAGCGUUAUCCGGAAUUAUUGGGCGUAAAGCGUCCGCAGGUGGCGAUUCAAGUCUGCGGUCAAAGACUGGGGCUUAACCCUGGAAAGGCCGUGGAAACUGAAAAGCUAGAGUGCAGUAGGGGUAGAGGGAAUUCCCGGUGUAGCGGUGAAAUGCGUAGAGCUCGGGAAGAACAUCGGUGGCGAAAGCGCUCUGCUGGACUGCAACUGACACUCAGGGACGAAAGCUAGGGGAGUGAAUGGG